This 739-nucleotide ribosomal RNA is filed under the name uncultured bacterium. Its description in RNAcentral is "bacterial SSU rRNA". It matches the Rfam family "Bacterial small subunit ribosomal RNA", at positions 8 to 796 of the family's 1533-position model. The record is from RNAcentral.
AGAGUUUGAUCCUGGCUCAGAACGAACGCUGGCGGCAGGCUUAACACAUGCAAGUCGAACGCCCCGCAAGGGGAGUGGCAGACGGGUGAGUAACGCGUGGGAACAUACCCUUUCCUGCGGAAUAGCUCCGGGAAACUGGAAUUAAUACCGCAUACGCCCUACGGGGGAAAGAUUUAUCGGGGAAGGAUUGGCCCGCGUUGGAUUAGCUAGUUGGUGGGGUAAAGGCCUACCAAGGCGACGAUCCAUAGCUGGUCUGAGAGGAUGAUCAGCCACAUUGGGACUGAGACACGGCCCAAACUCCUACGGGAGGCAGCAGUGGGGAAUAUUGGACAAUGGGCGCAAGCCUGAUCCAGCCAUGCCGCGUGAGUGAUGAAGGCCUUAGGGUUGUAAAGCUCUUUCACCGGAGAAGAUAAUGACGGUAUCCGGAGAAGAAGCCCCGGCUAACUUCGUGCCAGCAGCCGCGGUAAUACGAAGGGGGCUAGCGUUGUUCGGAAUUACUGGGCGUAAAGCGCACGUAGGCGGAUAUUUAAGUCAGGGGUGAAAUCCCAGAGCUCAACUCUGGAACUGCCUUUGAUACUGGGUAUCUUGAGUAUGGAAGAGGUAAGUGGAAUUCCGAGUGUAGAGGUGAAAUUCGUAGAUAUUCGGAGGAACACCAGUGGCGAAAGCGGCUUACUGGUCCAUUACUGACGCUGAGUGCGAAAGCGUGGGGAGCAAACAGGAUUAGAUACCCUGGUAGUCC